CUCUUUAUAGUCAGCCUUCUGCUUGCCACACUCACGGUGGGCAGUCAGUGAAUCUUCCCCAAGUGCUGACAAUUAAUACCUGGUUUAGCGGCAAAGAUUCAGAGAGGCGUGAGCAGCCCCUCUGGCCUUCAGGGAUUCAAAGAUCCAUCUUUCGGUUCUGUAAGACAGUCACGGCUUUUGUAACCUCGGUGCCCCCCUUCAACCUCCCGCCCCAAGCACCUCCAGGGUCGUCAGGGGUGUAAUUUUGAGUCGCGCUCCUAAGCAUCCAGACAGGCAGGACACCGUAACGACAUCUCUGCCAGGAGUCCCUUCAGACUGCGGUCUCCAGGUAACCGCACUCCAACAGAAGCAGUUGUGCUUCCUACCGGGUCACCUGUUCAAAAGUCCCCAGGAGAGGCUCCAGCAAUACCAGGGUAGCGGUUUGCCCGACACCGCUCCGGGCGCUGCAGCCUUCCGGCAACCCGGACGUUGGGUCGGUGUCAGCCACUCUCACCUCCCAUUCCCUAGUUUUCCUCCUUUGCUCCCAUCUAGUCACUUCGC
RNAcentral lists this small RNA (540 nucleotides) under Pongo abelii (Sumatran orangutan). Its description in RNAcentral is "processed transcript". Lineage: Eukaryota; Metazoa; Chordata; Mammalia; Primates; Hominidae. The record is from RNAcentral.